GAUUGAACGCUAGCGGGAUGCUUUACACAUGCAAGUCGAACGGCAGCGCGGACUUCGGUCUGGCGGCGAGUGGCGAACGGGUGAGUAAUAUAUCGGAACGUGCCCAGUAGCGGGGGAUAACUACGCGAAAGCGUGGCUAAUACCGCAUACGCCCUACGGGGGAAAGGGGGGGAUUCUUCGGAACCUCUCACUAUUGGAGCGGCCGAUAUCAGAUUAGCUAGUUGGUGAGGUAAAGGCUCACCAAGGCGACGAUCUGUAGCUGGUUUGAGAGGACGACCAGCCACACUGGGACUGAGACACGGCCCAGACUCCUACGGGAGCAGCAGUGGGGAUUUUGGACAAGUCGGGGGAAACCCUGAUCCAGCCACUCCCGCGU
Molecule: ribosomal RNA, 376 nt
Filed under: uncultured soil bacterium
Lineage: Bacteria
Description: bacterial SSU rRNA
Rfam family: Bacterial small subunit ribosomal RNA
Source: RNAcentral